Molecule: ribosomal RNA, 254 nt
Filed under: uncultured bacterium
Lineage: Bacteria
Description: partial 16S ribosomal RNA
Rfam family: Bacterial small subunit ribosomal RNA
Source: RNAcentral
UACGUAGGGGGCAAGCGUUGUCCGGAUUUAUUGGGCGUAAAGAGCGUGUAGGCGGCCAGGUAGGUCUGCUGUGAAAACUCGAGGCUUAACCUCGAGCUGUCGGCGGAAACCAUCUGGCUAGAGUCCGGAAGAGGAGAAUGGAAUUCCCGGUGUAGCGGUGAAAUGCGCAGAUAUCGGGAAGAACACCGGUGGCGAAAGCGCUCUGCUGGACCACAACUGACACUCACAGGACGAAAGCUAGGGGAGCGAAUGGG